RNAcentral lists this long non-coding RNA (1062 nucleotides) under Fukomys damarensis (Damara mole-rat). RNAcentral describes it as "lncRNA (ENSFDAG00000030889.1)". The record is from RNAcentral. Lineage: Eukaryota; Metazoa; Chordata; Mammalia; Rodentia; Bathyergidae.
UACGGAACCGUCCAGAAGGCUGCUUAAUGUACGGCCUAACAAUGCAUCGGCUCCUUCAGACAUGAGCCAAAAGUGCUGUUCCAGUCAGCACCAGCCCACAAAACAUGGAUGAAGGAGAAUCGGGCACUGUGAAGAUAAACACAGAAGUCUGCCCCACCCAGCCUCCUCUUCAACCAAACCAACAAUGGUUCUCCUGGCGAAGGACGAGGUCACCCACCUCGGCUCGUCCGCUGCUGUGGCUUUCCCGUCUGGGCGCCUGUGGCAAUGCUUAAGACGCGGAAGAUACCUGCUUGUAAUUCCUUGCCCGGUUCAUGCAACCCAGAAGAAUGUGAAGAUUUCUUUCUUUUCUUACCAUGAGGCUCCUAAUCUAAGGGCAAGCAUAAAGACAGCUGAAACUGUUUUUAAGUACAUGGCCCACAGUGUGAAGGUACACUCUGCGGUAAGCUGUGAAAUGGGCAGAAAUGUCACAGAAGAAGACUCUGUGGGGAAGUGAAAUCUAUGUUGAAGAGGCUAAGGCUUCCUGUCAUGACUUCUGGGCAUCCUAUUUGAAACAGCAGGACCUUCUGACCUGGAAAGUUGCGGAGACCUUUUGGACAGCUGAACUGUAGAUAAAAAUCUUCCAGGGAAGUAGGUGUGGGCAGGAUGUGUGUUUCCCUGCCUCUCAUCUGAAGGCUGAUUCAGUUAAUAUUUCAUAAGUGAUUUCUUACAGUAAAAGUUGCAUUCCAGAGUGUUUUAAAAGAAAUUCAAAAAGAAAAGCUAGCUACUGAUUUGCAGUUCAAGUUGAGACUAGAGCACUCUCUUUAUGAAUGGCAUAGACAUGCAUAGUAGGGAAACUUCCCUACUGUAAUCUCAAACCAGCCCCUCGGCUGUAGGACCUUGAGGGCUCAAAUUAGCCAAUAACACACAGCAGAGAAGCACUUGUUUACUAAAUAACCUAGAACUGAGCAGGAAGAUGAGAUAACAUGUGUCUCAUCCUGGCUCUGAAUGUCUGUACAGCAGCCCAAACCUGGCAAAAAUAUUUUUAAACUUUUAGUGAUAUAAUACACAUAGAUUCCUUCCCUG